This 259-nucleotide ribosomal RNA is filed under the name uncultured prokaryote. Its description in RNAcentral is "partial 16S ribosomal RNA". It matches the Rfam family "Bacterial small subunit ribosomal RNA", at positions 524 to 782 of the family's 1533-position model. The record is from RNAcentral.
UACGUAGGUGGCGAGCGUUAUCCGGAAUUAUUGGGCGUAAAGAGCGCGCAGGUGGUUGAUUAAGUCUGAUGUGAAAGCCCACGGCUUAACCGUGGAGGGUCAUUGGAAACUGGUCGACUUGAGUGCAGAAGAGGGAAGUGGAAUUCCAUGUGUAGCGGUGAAAUGCGUAGAGAUAUGGAUGAACACCAGUGGCGAAGGCGGCUUCCUGGUCUGUAACUGACACUGAGGCGCGAAAGCGUGGGGAGCAAACAGGAUUAGA